AGAAGAACCUGAGACCUGGAGCUGUUAACUUGCUCAGAACUGCAUGGACAGUAGCUUUAUUCCAAGAUGUUGGAUACGGCAUCAAAGAAUCUAGCAAGUUCAUCUUCCGGAACGAAUCCGUCCAGGAAGCAUCGGAUCUGCCCGUCUGGACUGGUUGCCUUUCCCUCUGAUGUACAGAGACAGAGCUGUCACCCUGGGAUCUCCGUCUCUUUUAUGAGUUUAAUCCCCUGCUUUCCGCAUCCGCGGCUGCCUGCUUCUCAGGGACUGCCUCUCCUCCAGCAGCUUCCUGAGGAAGAGAAACAGGGGACCAUGCACAAAUGGACUGUGGCCAGUUCUCUGAGAUGCUGCCAGGAAGAGAAAGCAGCAGAAACUCUCUAGCAGAGAAAGGUUCAGAUUUCCUGGAUCAAAUGUUCCCAAGGCCUGGGAGGUCAUGUGGUUUCAGAGGCAUAAGCUGAGUUUGGUGUAUAUUACAGAGAAGCCAUCCCAUCCGGGUGUGACCACUCUGAAGAUCUUCAUCCCAGUCCUUCAGCACAAAGAAAUACCUGCUGAAGCUGGUUUAUAUUCCAGGACAAGUAAAGGAGCAUGGUCAAGCUGUAAACCGCACUGAAGCUAUGGAUUUGCUGUUUUUAAAGUGAUGUUUGGUACUUAAUCUGAAUGGAGCUAAAUGACUUGAUCCUGUCUUUCAAGUAGCUGCUGAAAUACUCCUUCUUUGAGUCUUUUGAGAAUGAUUAGGACAGGAUAGAGCUGGGAACCUUGAACAUUUCAGCUUUCCUCUGCAAUCUAUCCAGUUAUCAGCAAUUUUAUCUGCUUGAAAUCUGAUUACUCUUUGAGAUGGAACUUUUGAAAGCUAUGACUGAUUAUAUAGUGCAUUCAUGAGUGCUUUAGUACAUUUAUAGCCCUCAAAAUGUAAUGAUCCAAAUGUUUGUUUGAUUACCUACUGUGCACCAGUCAGGUGUGUGGCCAUACAUGUCCGGUUCUUUGUGCAGCCUUCUUGCAGGCCUACCUGAUAUCAAAUAUCCACUAAAGGAUUUGGGUGGUGGAGAGCCACUGUCUUUGCUUAGCAUCUUUCACUUUGUCCUCGUUUCUCCUUCCCAUGAGUACCACUCUGCAGACCCUCAGCUUCUCACGGACACAUACUCACUGCAGCCUAUUGAUUGGUUUUCUGAUUUCCUUAUCGGGUAGUUCUGGAGUAAGUUCACUCUGUUGGCACUUUCCCCAAAAGAUAUUCCCCCAAAUGUACACUUUAUACACAGACCUCUUUGAAACACAAGCAACAAGCUAGCAGCAAGCUCAAGAGGUAAGGAUCGUGUCUGCCUCCUUGGAGUCCAGUACAGAGCCUGACAUACACAGCUGGUGAGCACUCCAUGCCAAUGAAUUUGUUUCUCAUGACUAUCUCCUAGAUUUUCACUUAAUACUUCAGACCUUUUAUCACUCAAUUGUACCAUCCUGGGUCUCAUGGCCAAUUUAAUGUGAUGUUCAAAAGAACAAAAAUCUAACUGCUUAAAAAAAUAAAAAUAAAUGUCUCUUCCUUGCAUUGGGAUUCAUAAGCAAAGGAUGCCCACAGAUGGGAAAACUCAUUAGCAUGAGCUUCUGAAGGUGGCCAUUGGUCUACCCUAUGGUGCAGGAUAUCCUGCUAGGUUUUUUCCAAAUCAGAAGGCUUUUCCCUACUUGACAAAAAUUAACUCAGCAAGAUCACAUCAUGCAAGAUACCUGAGAAUGAAAGUACUCUAUGCCUUUCUGAAGCAUGUUGUGCCUCAGGACCCAGCAUAACAGAAGGAAAAAAUGAAAGGGACUUGUCUCUUCUUUUGUACUCAGCAAAUGGGUAGAAAAUCAAAUAUACCAACACAAUCAUAAUGAAACUUCCUUCUCCAGUCCUAGAAUCUGACUUGCUUGAGAGACAAAGCCUCUUGCUGCCAAAAGUCUGUGAGUGAAUUCAUUCAUUCAUUCAUUCAUUCACCUUAUAUUUAUUAACUGACCACUAUGGAUUUGUCACUGUGCAUCUUUGGAAUCCUUGAAUUUGAGUCACAGGAGCAAGUGUUUUCUAGAAAUUGGGCUGAAAGUAAUUGUUCAUUGCUGAUGUCAUGUACAUCCACUGACAUUUAUUUAAUAAACUUUAGAGGCAGUAUGGCUUAGUAUUCAGGGCACAGACUCAGGGCUAGGAGCCUGGUUCCAGCACUAAUUAAAUUUGUCACCUUGGGCAGGGUACAUAGACCAACCCCAGCCUGCUUAUCUACUAACUAGAAUAUUAGUACGCACUUCAUUGCGCUGUUGUGAGACUUAAUUCUGUUAAUACAUGUAAUGUGCAUAAUGGUGCUUAAUACAGAGCAAGUGCUCAUAAAUGUGGGCUGCCAUUGUAAUAGAAUUUAAUAUUGAAAUGGUCCUGGCAUGAUGAAUUUGAAUUAAAUUGCUUCAGUUUAUUCUCUCCAAGCUUCAGUUUGCACAUCUAUAAAAUGAAGAUAGUAACAACUACCUUACAGAAAUGUUAUGAUUCAAAUGAGACAAUAUAUGUAGAAGUGUUUUGUAAAAAGCAAUGUCUGAUGUACUUCAAAGUUAUUUUCAUUAUGUUAAACUCUUGAAGAUGCCUAUAAUGAAACCCCUUUUCAAUUUCCCCAGGUUAUAUCUCCUGAGUGAAAUCAUAGAAAAGAAAGCAAGUUCAUAUCCUUGGCAGAGGAGAGAAAGAUUCUUGAUUAGAUCUCACCAAACUCUAUCUUGUAGGGGAAAAAAAUCACUCAGAAAGAGACUGGUGAAGGAUAUUAGGAAAAGACAAUGGAGGCUGAGCCACCAAAAUACAGUAAAUCUUUAUGAAGAGGGAUGGGGGCAGGCAUGUGACCCAAGCCAGGUCAACUAGAAUCUCCCUCAUUGAAUUUAAUUCUUGAGGAGAGGAAUUAAAUUCUGAGUGGAACAUUCCUUCCACUCAAUGACAGCCUCCUGGCCACGCAGUCCCCGCGUUACAUGACGUGCUUUCCAGGGCUGCCUGCACCCUUCUCCGCUUCCUAGCCUGGUCUUCUGGCUGCUGUCAAUCCUGAGAGCUCUUGUUCCUUUCCGUAAAUUACCCUUAGCCAAAUUUAACUUCUGUUGCUCGCAAAAAAGGUGCACUAACUAAUACUGGCCCUGACCUGCUGAUAAGGACAGCCACUGAAAGGACAUAUCUUCCUCUAGUUUCGUGCUGGUACUGUGAGUGCUGCACAUGUGUGUCCUGGUGUGCUUAUGACAGGUCCUGUAUCCUGUCAGAGCUCUUAAAAAUCACUUACUCACUUGUUCACUGGGAAAUUAUAUAUUGAGUCUCUGGGUAUCACUUUAGGCACAGGGGAUGCAUCAAGGAACAACACAGACAAACUCCUGUGUCCUCAUGAAUUUACAUUCUAGUGGAGGAAGAGACAUAAUAAACAAAAUAAAAAUAUACCUAAGACAUUAGAAGAUGAAAUGCCUCUGGAAAAAUACCCCAACAGAGAGGAUAGAAAGAGCCAAAGGUGAGGUUACCAUUUUAAACAGAGUUAUUAGCAAAGGACACUUAAGUAAAAGAAGGGUGGUGGGUUAGAGAACCAUAUAGAAACAGUGGGAAAAGCAUUGCUGGUAGAGGGAACAGAAAGUGCAAAAGUGCCAUGGUGGAAAGUUGCCUCCAGUGUUACAGGAACAGGAAAGGUGGUAUAGCUGGAGUGGGGUGAGCAACAGAGAGAGAUCAGGGAGGCAAUGGGAUAUGGGGGGCACACAGUGUAGGGCUAUUUUUAAGACUUUAGUUUCUACUGUGAGUGCGUUAAGAAGACAUCGGAGGGUACUGAACAAACAACAUACAGUUACCUUUAUGUCUCUCUUCUGUGCCCUGCAUCUGCUGGCUUUCAAGAACUGGACAGGACCCAUGCUUUCCAUUCCCGGCUUCACAGCUCUGCUCUGCUUCAGUCGGGCCUCUCUUCUCUCUAAACUGAGCACUCCACACACUUCCUUGCUUUGAUCCACUCUCUUCCCAAGCCCCAGUGUCCAUCAGGGGCCAUUUCCAACCCUUUCUCCUUCCUGAAGUUUUCUUGCAUUUAGUCAGGUCACAGCAAUCUUGCCCAUUUCUGAAUCUCUCAUGGACUAACUUCUACACACUCCAGCAGAGAUUUAGCCCAUACCCUCUUGGAUUUUAUUGAAUUUUUCAUGUAUGCCUGCCUUGUCUACCAACAACUAUAGAUUGUAAACUUUUGGAACAAAAGCACCA
This is a long non-coding RNA of Manis pentadactyla (Chinese pangolin), 4195 nucleotides long. RefSeq lists it as uncharacterized. The transcript is spliced from 5 exons. NCBI's taxonomy places the organism in Eukaryota, Metazoa, Chordata, Mammalia, Pholidota, Manidae. The record is from RefSeq and is a predicted model, not a curated record.